GGCUUCGGCCACAUCCAACUGCCAGGCCGGGCUGUUGCGUUUUCUGCGUCUAGUCGGGCAGCUCAAGGUGAGCGAGUGGGCUCGGCCGGGCCGGGAGGCGGCGGGGUCCAGCUCAGGCUCCGACCUCACGCAACCUCCCUCGCUCAGCCCCGCCUCGUGCGGCCUGGAUGUGCCGGGAAGGAGCUGGCGGGAACCCAGCCGAGGAUUCUUUGCGGGGCGCCGCCACAGCCCAGGUCAUGGGCGGUGCUGCGGAGCUGCAGCGGAAGGCCGGAGUGUGGCCCCUGCUUAUGAGUAGUGGAGACCUUCCUCUGUCGCCGUGACUUCCGGAAAUGACCGUUUCAGUAAUUCGGUUUCAGCGUGCACCAGCUUGUGCAGAGCUUGUGCAGAGCCCCCUACGUUCCAAGACGAGCUGUUCCCUGACACUGUGACUACUGUUUGUGAAAUCCUUUAGAAACAUAGAACUCCCAGGUAAAAUGCAGACUCACAUGAUCACAUCAUGAUCUGAAUAAAAGGCUUCACUGCCGUGG
RNAcentral lists this long non-coding RNA (527 nucleotides) under Rattus norvegicus (Norway rat). Its description in RNAcentral is "long non-coding RNA NONRATT002028". Lineage: Eukaryota; Metazoa; Chordata; Mammalia; Rodentia; Muridae. The record is from RNAcentral.